AGCUUUUUGAAUCCGUGCUGAGAUUUCGUCAGACACCAACCCAUUAGGUCUGAUCAGACUUCCAAGACAAGUGAAGUU
Molecule: microRNA precursor, 78 nt
Organism: Schistosoma mansoni
Lineage: Eukaryota; Metazoa; Platyhelminthes; Trematoda; Strigeidida; Schistosomatidae
Rfam family: mir-3492 microRNA precursor family
Source: Rfam